ACUGAAGUUGAACUUAAUAACAUCUACUUUGAAGUAUACUUUCUAAAAGUACACAUUAAACAUACUUUACAUAAAGUACAAAAAGUGUAAGCAUACUUGCUUUAUACUUCAUAUACUUUAAUCAUAUUUCUAACACACUAAAGUAUACUACUUUUUUACCUGGGCGUGUUAUGGGUGUGUGUGUGUGUGUGU
Molecule: long non-coding RNA, 192 nt
Organism: Alosa sapidissima (American shad)
Lineage: Eukaryota; Metazoa; Chordata; Actinopteri; Clupeiformes; Clupeidae
Exons: 4
Source: RefSeq, a predicted model, not a curated record